UGCUUAGGCGGAAUGAUAAGUUAGUGGUGAAAGCCCCCGGCUCAACCGGGGAACUGCCAUUAAUACUGUCAUUCUUGAGUAUAGUUGAAGUGGGCGGAAUGUAUCAUGUAGCGGUGAAAUGCUUAGAUAUGAUACAGAACACCGAUAGCGUAGGCAGCUUGCUAAACUAUAACUGACGCUCAGGCACGAAAGCGUGGGGAGCAAACAGGAUUAGAUACCCUGGUAGUCC
Molecule: ribosomal RNA, 229 nt
Filed under: uncultured bacterium
Lineage: Bacteria
Description: partial 16S ribosomal RNA
Rfam family: Bacterial small subunit ribosomal RNA
Source: RNAcentral